CCUUUUGUUAAUGGUUCACUGUUAUUUUAAACAAAUUUUAGCCAGUAGGCUUUAUAUUGGGAAAAACAUUGUAGUAAUUUCAUUGACAUAAAU
Molecule: long non-coding RNA, 93 nt
Organism: Pipistrellus kuhlii (Kuhl's pipistrelle)
Lineage: Eukaryota; Metazoa; Chordata; Mammalia; Chiroptera; Vespertilionidae
Exons: 3
Source: RefSeq, a predicted model, not a curated record